AUUGAACGCUGGCGACAAGCCUAACACAUGCAAGUCGAACGAGUGGCGGACGGGUGAGUAAUGUCUGGGAAACUGCCUGAUGGAGGGGGAUAACUACUGGAAACGGUAGCUAAUACCGCAUACCAUCGGAUGUGCCCAGAUGGGAUUAGCUAGUAGGUGGGGUAAAGGCUCACCUAGGCGACGAGCCCUAGCUGGUCUGAGAGGAUGACCCGCCACACUGGAACUGAGAAACGGUCCAGACUCCUACGGGAGGCAGCAGUGGGGAAUAUUGCACAAUGGGCGCAAGCCUGAUGCAGCCAUGCCGCGUGUAUGAAGAAGGCCUUCGGGUUGUAAAGUACUUUCAGCGGGGAGGCGUUACCCGCAGUAGAAGAACCGGCUAAUGACGUGCCAGCAGCCGCGGUAAUUC
Molecule: ribosomal RNA, 406 nt
Filed under: uncultured bacterium
Lineage: Bacteria
Description: partial 16S ribosomal RNA
Rfam family: Bacterial small subunit ribosomal RNA
Source: RNAcentral